Peromyscus maniculatus bairdii (prairie deer mouse) is the source of this 2628-nucleotide non-coding RNA. The record is from RefSeq and is a predicted model, not a curated record. NCBI's taxonomy places the organism in Eukaryota, Metazoa, Chordata, Mammalia, Rodentia, Cricetidae.
GCAGAAUUCACAGACCUCGGAGUCACGCUUUCCACGGGCGAAAUCGUUCUCAGACCCUAAAAUGGGAAUUCACAAAUUCCGGAGCCCCCUGUGGCCUGGGAAAGUAACGUGUUGAAAGGAGAGACAGACGGGGCCGAUGAGUUACAAUGUUGGCAACCCGAUUCCUGUCAGACACGCUGCGGGCCAAGCAAAACAGUCCCGGACGGGUUGGGGCUGGGCUGUCGCCGCGCUCUUGUGAAAUGGGGCAGAGCUGUCUGUCAUCUGAGAUGUGCACCGGACUGGGCGCUCGGCCCCGGCGCUCCAUCAGGGACCCUCGAGUGGGAGCUCUGAAAGUGAGCACUUGGUGCAGAGGGGCUGAGAACACAGCCCAUUUCCUGAGGCCGAUGCCACCCACGCUGCUCUGCUCUUUGGACCGAGAGGGGCCCGGGACCCUAUUAUUUCCUUUAGCAGGUUCUGGGGGGGGGGGUCCAUCUAGGCCUGGCCUCUGGGGAUCCCGGGGCCAGAGGGCAGACAGUAAGGAGCUCUGUCAGGGAGCCUUGCCUCAUAUUGAUGUUGGGAGCAGUGGUUUUCAACCUACCUCACGCUGCCACCCUUUAAUACAGUUCCUCAUGUUGUGGUGACCCAACCUCCCCCCGCCCUGCCCCAACCAUAAAAUUAUUUCCAUUGCUACUUCAUAACUGUCAUUUUGCUACCGUUACGAAUCGUAACGUAAAUAUCCCAUACGCGGGAGAUCUGACUUGUGACCGCCCUCAAAGGGGUCGAGACCCAUGGGUUGAGAACCACUGGUUGGGAGUGACGUGAUGGUGGCGUAGGGGGAGGAUGACUCUGACUAGAUGAUCAUUGGCCUGCACCCAGUCUCCAAGCUCUCUGUGGAUGACUCUAGCCUUCUGUUGUCCUAACUCCAUAAGUCACCUUCUGAGUAAGACGGAGCACUGUUACUCAUUACUGAAUCCCCAGUGUCUUGCGAGGCAUAUAGCACAUCAGAGAUCUUGGUUCUGUGUGGAGUCCCCUGACCUGUGAAUCCUGUGUCAGCCUGAUAUCACUCCUUCCUCACAGCCCAGUGGACCGGCAGGGCCCGAGAGGCCAAGCCAGGGCCCUAAGGCAGCUCAGACUUCAGCCGGUCUCCCUGGCUCUGGCCAGGGUGUGUGGUCUCUGCAGUGAGCCGCUGGGUAUUUCACCUACUGGUACCAAGAUCCCGUGUCUGUUACUGGCAGUGGGUGUCAGUCAGAAAGGAAGAGAGCCCAUGACUGUGGUGUGCGGAUGUCCGUGCGGACCAGCUGCACACAACCACAAAGGCUAUUCCAUGCAGCCCUGGUGAGGGCUGAAAAAGACUGCUCGGUUUGGGUGUGUGGACAGUGUGCUUGGGGGUGCACCCAGCCUCAGGCCUGGCACGUAGUGGGGGACCCACGCGUGUUGGGUGAGUCAAUGUAAAUGUGAUCGUGGCUCAGGCUCCCAGGACAAACAGGAUUUCUGAUUGACAACAUAGCCCACUGAAACCCGCCAGAGACCUGUAUUGUGUGAGGUCAGCCUGCCUGGGCCUCUUUAGCAGAUGGCUACAGGCUGGACCUGUUACCAGUCCCUUCCACACACAUGCACAUGCGUGUGCGCACACACACACACACACACACACACACACACACACACACACACACAGAGUGUAGGCUGGGGAUUUCACCAUCAGAACUGGGGCCAUGGUUGCAUUUUGCUCCUCCUCGGGUACCCCUGGUAUUUGCAGGUUGCACUUCUAGCAUUGUCUCUUCUAGCCAUUCUGAGCUCAGUGCUUCUGCUAGUGUGAGGAAAGAUCCUGCCUUUGGAUGACAUUGGCCUGGAAUUUCAGAGGCUCCUGGGCCAGGGAAGUGGUCUCUUCUAGGCAAAGGAGACCCUCCCUGGUAGAAAUAACAUCCUGAUAAGAUUCCAAGGAGCUGAGCAAGUGGGAUCCUGAGGCCAAAAUAUAUAAGGCAGGAUCCCUACACUCAGGAGUCCCAGCAAGUCACGUAGGCCAGGCUGUGAGGGUCCCUUGGCCAGAGUUCUCUGGAAUGCUGGCCUGCUUGGUCUCCACGGCUCAGGGGCCAGGUGUCUUCCUUGAGGCAUCUGUUUGCCUGGAGGAGGUCAUGGAGGUGGCAUCUGACGUGACCUCAAGUGGGUAGGCAGGCUGACCUGCCUGAACAGGCCUGAACGCUGCUAGGAGGAAAAAUCCGCAGCGACCCGCUCAGCUCCUGGCUCCUCAGCCUCCUCAGCCCGUCUCUCAGUCCCCUUGUCCACACAUCACAUGUUUGCCUCUGCCUCCUGGACCUGGCCCUGCGGAGGCCGGAAUGCCUGACUCUGAACUAGCCACACAGCUGACCUUCUGAGUCCUGGCGAAUUCAGGGCUGUGUCCCUCGGGCUGCUGAGGACCCUGAGUUCCUCACGUCAUAGUGUCAUUGUACGGAGAGACAGGCACAGACUCGCUCGCUGGACGCAGAGCUCAGAGCCACAUUAGUCUUACAUUCUGACUCCUGCUGAGGAAUGCCUUUCUGUUCCAGAUGGGUUCAUUCUGGAGAGCAUACGAAGCCAAACUCAGUUGUGCCUGAGGCACCCAAGACAUCAGUCACGGGGAGCUCUUCUUUAUUUAAAGGUUUUGACAUUUCA